RNAcentral lists this long non-coding RNA (623 nucleotides) under Gallus gallus (chicken). The record is from RNAcentral. Lineage: Eukaryota; Metazoa; Chordata; Aves; Galliformes; Phasianidae.
CCUUUAUUAAAAUCGUUGGGAAUAUUAUAUGAAAUUUAAUAUUGUAUAAUAUAGGUGCAAAACCCUGAUAUUAACAGGAUGUGAUACAUGUGAACAGAGGGCAUUAACAUAUGUAUAAAUAGAAAAGCUAAAAUGUGUUUGACGGUGAUAUAUUAAAUGGCUACAUAAAUGUGACCGUAAUUAGGAGAGUAUGUAAUUUUGUAUUCCUUAAGCAGUAUCCUCUGAAGCAGCACACACAGUAAAUUGCUUUUACCUCUAGUCUCGGCUUCCUUACAAUGUAAUAGCAGAUGUGUUGGAAUAUUAUAGGCACAUGCAAAAGAAAUGUAGAAGAUAUAAAACCAGAGGCACAAGCUGGAGACUUAUUUGUUCCUGGCUGCCAGAGGCUUACGACUGAUCUUCUUUGACUUGUCAUUGUUCUUCUUCGGAGGUUCAGGGUUCGCCUGCAUGUGUCUGCCAUAAAGAUAUUUGUAUGUUUCUGAUCGAAUGUACUCAAAAACAUGAGACACUCCCAGCUGGAACUGGUCAGCUAUAGGGGUCACCCAAGGAUUGUUCUCUGCUUUGAAGACUUGCUUUUGACCAGUCAAAUCCAAAUUACCUAGUUCUGGGGGCAGCACGGUAAGGCG